AACGUACGCUGGCGGCACGCCUAAUACAUGCAAGUCGAACGAAGUAGCAAUACUUAGUGGCAGACGGGUGAGUAACAUGUGGGUAUCUUCCCUUUGGUGAAGAAUAACACGAGGAAACUUGUGCUAAUACUUCAUAAGUCUUUACGGAGAAAGCUUUAUGCGCCAAUGGAUGAGCCUGCACUUGAUUAGUUUGUUGGUGGGUAAUGGCCUACCAAGACAGUGAUCAAUAGCUGAUUUGAGAGGAUGAUCAGCCACAUUGGGACUGAGACACGGCCCAAACUCCUACGGGAGGCAGCAGUAGGGAAUCUUGCACAAUGGAGGAAACUCUGAUGCAGCGAUGCCGCGUGAGUGAAGAAGGCCCUUGGGUUGUAAAGCUCUUUCGUCGGGGAAGAAAAUGACUGUACCCGAAUAAGAAGGUCCGGCUAACUUCGUG
Molecule: ribosomal RNA, 433 nt
Filed under: uncultured bacterium
Lineage: Bacteria
Description: bacterial SSU rRNA
Rfam family: Bacterial small subunit ribosomal RNA
Source: RNAcentral